AAUUAAUCAAAUAUACUAAAUUACAAUUUUGGCCCUCAAACUAUAAUAAAGGUGACACUUCAGUCUUCAAACUUUAAUUUGUUACAAUUUUCGACUCGCACAUUUGAUAUUAUUAUUAUAUCUGAGCCUCAUUAUACAAUUUACUCGACAAGAACAUUGUCGCAUCACUAUUUAUCAUUCAGUUAACUAGAUUAUAUUAUAGGACUCGAUUGCUACAAUCUAGAGUUGGAGCCUAAAAUUGCAAUAAAUUAAAGUUUAG
Molecule: long non-coding RNA, 259 nt
Filed under: Ananas comosus (pineapple)
Lineage: Eukaryota; Viridiplantae; Streptophyta; Magnoliopsida; Poales; Bromeliaceae
Description: long non-coding RNA (ACOM_LNC008496)
Source: RNAcentral